UCCAGCUGUUUUGGGACUACAAUUCUCAUCAUCCCUGACCACUGGUCCUGUUAGCUAGGGAUGAUGGGAGUUGUAGUCCCAAAAGAGCUGGA
RNAcentral lists this microRNA precursor (92 nucleotides) under Podarcis lilfordi (Lilford's wall lizard). Lineage: Eukaryota; Metazoa; Chordata; Lepidosauria; Squamata; Lacertidae. The record is from RNAcentral.